CAAUGGGAGGGUUGAAGAAACAGAUCUAGGCUGAGCUUCUAGGAAUUAUGUCACAAGAGUAGGCUGCUGAAAGAGCUGCUGCUUUUAGAACAAUCAAGAAGCUGCCUGCUGGAUUAGGAAGCUGCCUGCUGAACAGUUGCCAGUUCCAGAGCCACACCACCUCUGCCAUGCUUUAUGCCAGCAAAAAUAGAUACAUCUCUUCCUGCCUCUGUCCCCACGUUACUUGGCUCUGAGUAAAAGUCUCAACCAUGAAGUACAAUCAAGAAGAAAUUGAAAAACAGUCAGAGUUAGAUGAUGAGCUUCAUCGUUUGUCAUGCAGGAUUUUUAUCCCCUGAAGAACCUG
Molecule: long non-coding RNA, 343 nt
Filed under: Pan troglodytes (chimpanzee)
Lineage: Eukaryota; Metazoa; Chordata; Mammalia; Primates; Hominidae
Description: long non-coding RNA NONPTRT002557
Source: RNAcentral